UACGUAGGUGGCAAGCGUUGUCCGGAUUUAUUGGGCGUAAAGGGAGCGCAGGCGGUGACUUAAGUCUGAUGUGAAAGCCCACGGCUUAACCGUGGAGGGUCAUUGGAAACUGGGUCACUUGAGUGCAGAAGAGGAAAGCGGAAUUCCAUGUGUAGCGGUGAAAUGCGUAGAUAUAUGGAGGAACACCAGUGGCGAAGGCGGCUUUCUGGUCUGUAACUGACGCUGAGGCUCGAAAGCGUGGGGAGCAAACAGG
RNAcentral lists this ribosomal RNA (253 nucleotides) under uncultured bacterium. RNAcentral's name for it is "partial 16S ribosomal RNA". It matches the Rfam family "Bacterial small subunit ribosomal RNA", at positions 524 to 776 of the family's 1533-position model. The record is from RNAcentral.